AGCUCCAAUAGCGUAUAUUAAAGUUGUUGCAGUUAAAAAGCUCGUAGUUGGAUCUCGGGUGCAGGCUUGCGGUCCGUCUCGCGACGGUCACUGCUCGUCCUGGCAGCCUAGCUGCGGUGUAUCCCUUGGUGCUCUUGACUGAGUGUCUCGGGUGGCCGGAACGUUUACUCUGAUGAAAUUAGAGUGUUCAAAGCGCGGGCGCUUCGCCCGCAUAAUGGUGCAUGGAAUGAUAGAAUAGGACCUCGGUUCUAUUUUGUUGGUUUUCGGAACCAGAGGUAAUGAUUGAGAGGGACAGACGGGGGCAUUCGUAUUGCGGCGUUAGAGGUGAAAUUCUUGGAUCGCCGCAAGACGGACUACAGCGAAAGCAUUUGCCAAGAAUGUUU
This 383-nucleotide ribosomal RNA is filed under the name uncultured eukaryote. RNAcentral's name for it is "SSU rRNA". It matches the Rfam family "Eukaryotic small subunit ribosomal RNA", at positions 587 to 969 of the family's 1831-position model. The record is from RNAcentral.